This 253-nucleotide ribosomal RNA is filed under the name uncultured bacterium. RNAcentral describes it as "partial 16S ribosomal RNA". It matches the Rfam family "Bacterial small subunit ribosomal RNA", at positions 524 to 776 of the family's 1533-position model. The record is from RNAcentral.
UACGUAGGGUGCGAGCGUUAAUCGGAAUUACUGGGCGUAAAGUGUGCGCAGGCGGCCGAGCAUGUCGAGUGUGAAAGCCCCGGGCUUAACCUGGGAAUGGCAUUGGAUACUGGCAACCUAGAAUGUGGUAGAGGGUGGCGGAAUUCCCGGUGUAGCAGUGAAAUGCGUAGAUAUCGGGAGGAACAUCCGUGGCGAAGGCGGCCACCUGGACCAACAUUGACGCUGAGGCACGAAAGCGUGGGGAGCAAACAGG